This is a long non-coding RNA of Gossypium arboreum, 341 nucleotides long. RefSeq lists it as uncharacterized. The transcript has 2 exons. The record is from RefSeq and is a predicted model, not a curated record. NCBI's taxonomy places the organism in Eukaryota, Viridiplantae, Streptophyta, Magnoliopsida, Malvales, Malvaceae.
GAUCAAGAAUCCAAAGAAGAACGAGGAAAAGAAAAAGUUGCGGAAUAGUCUCAAAAUUUCAAUAUCUUCUACAAAUUAGCCGGAUUGACUUGAAGUGAAGUGGGUAGAUCGGAUCAACACAACAAAGCACACUAUCCAGAUCAAUUCCGGUAGCUUUUGUUUUAUGUUUGAAGAUUUAUAUGGCAUGUAUAGAGUUUGAAUGAAUUGAAGUAAAGAUGUUAUAAACUAGUUAAUAAUAUUUGUACUAAAAUAGUUUUCGGUAAGUAGCAGUAGUUUGACUUUGAAAAAUCACUAAAAAUAGUAGAAAUGGAAUUAAAUAAUGAAUAAAUUAUGGAAUCGAA